This 475-nucleotide ribosomal RNA is filed under the name Hordeum depressum. The record is from RNAcentral. Lineage: Eukaryota; Viridiplantae; Streptophyta; Magnoliopsida; Poales; Poaceae.
UUUUUCAUUAUUAUUUUUGCUGCACGCGAGAAACAUGACGCACGUGCGCGGUAAAUAUUGAAGGCACGUGCGGGGUAAAUAUUAAAUGCCGUUUCUUAUUUCUGACGUUUUGCGGUGAGUUGCAGCUUGCGAUCGAUAUUGACGCAUGUUGGCGCGGCGUUAUGGUGGGAGAGGCACCACUUUCGAGAAGCGUUCAACGUCGUGUGAAAACUCGUGGCAAUGUGGGGACGGAGAUGGAGGGGUGAAAACCGUGGGAAACGUGGGAACGAUUGUCGAGGUGGAGAUAAAGUAGUAUGGUGAAGUAUACAAUGGUGGCAAGGAAUGGACGGUAGAGUUUGUAGUGGAGCUCGGAGGGGCGAGCAUAAGGGACGAUGGGAUAAGAAAGGAUCCCAUCAGAACUCCGAAGUUACGCGUGCUUGGGCGAGAGUAGUACUAGGAUAGGUGACCUCCUGGGAAGUCCUCGUGUUGCAUUCCC